This 253-nucleotide ribosomal RNA is filed under the name uncultured bacterium. RNAcentral describes it as "partial 16S ribosomal RNA". It matches the Rfam family "Bacterial small subunit ribosomal RNA", at positions 524 to 776 of the family's 1533-position model. The record is from RNAcentral.
GACGAACCACACAAACGUUAUUCGGAAGUACUGGGCUUAAAGGGUGCGUAGGCGGCGUGGAAAGUUGGGUGUGAAAUCCCUCAGCUUAACUGAGGAACAGCGCCCAAAACUACCAUGCUCGAGGGAGAUAGAGGAAUGCGGAACUUAGGGUGGAGCGGUGAAAUGCGUUGAUAUCCUAGGGAACACCGGUGGCGAAAGCGGCAUUCUGGAUCUCUUCUGACGCUGAGGCACGAAAGCCAGGGUAGCAAACGGG